This 484-nucleotide ribosomal RNA is filed under the name uncultured bacterium. Its description in RNAcentral is "partial 16S ribosomal RNA". It matches the Rfam family "Bacterial small subunit ribosomal RNA", at positions 28 to 507 of the family's 1533-position model. The record is from RNAcentral.
GAUUAACGCUAGCGGCAGGCAUAAUACAUGCAAGUUGAACGGCAGCACAGGUAGCAAUUCUGGGUGGCGAGUGGCGCACGGGUGCGUAACACGUAUGCAACCUACCCUAUACUGUCGAAUAACCUUUAGAAAUUAGGGCUAAUACGCCGUAGUAUUACAGCUGGGCUUCUAUUUGUAAUUAAAGUUUUAUCGGUAUAGGAUGGGCAUCCGUCCCAUUAGUUUGUUGGUAAGGUAACGGCUUACCAAGACGAUGAUGGGUAGGGGAUCUGAGGGGACUUACCCUCACACUGGUACUGGGACACGGACCAGACUCCUACGGGAGGCAGCAGUAAGGGAGAUUGGGCAAGGGACGCGAGGCUGACCCAGCCAUGCCGCGUGCAGGAAGACGGCCUUAUGGGUUGUAAACUGCUUUUAUACGGGAAUAAUAGAGUGUACGCGAACAUUUAUGCAAGUAUCGUAUGAAUAAGCAUCGGCUAACUCCGUG